Molecule: non-coding RNA, 76 nt
Organism: Podarcis lilfordi (Lilford's wall lizard)
Lineage: Eukaryota; Metazoa; Chordata; Lepidosauria; Squamata; Lacertidae
Source: the annotation of a GenBank genome assembly
GUCUCAUGCUAGCUCAGUUGGUAGAAGCAUGAGGCUCUUCAUCUCAGGGUUGUGGGUUCAAGUCCCUCAUGGGGCA